GGCUGAUGUAACGUGAGUCUUAACAGAGACCUGGGUGCAAGUCGUAUAAUUAGCUUGGUAACAAGCUAAUGUAGCCUCACCCGGCUCAGUGUAGUUGCGCUAAUGUGCCUCCGCGCUGUACGAGAGGGCAGGUAUUUACAAAGGAAAACGUGCAGGUGGCGCCAGUAAAUGCGGACUUUCUGAGGCAGCUAAAACCCAAUUUUACAUAACGUUAACAUAAACCACAUUACCUUGAGGUUGUGGUGUAAUCCAGAAAUUGAGACCGGGGAAACCUUGUAGCUAAUGUAAGCAUGCGCAAAAUUGCUAAUAAGCAGCUAACGUUACAUCACUUUGAGUUAGAACAUUUAACCGGCAGUCCCAUCCGCCAAAAUCUUCGGUAUGCUAACGUUAGACAUGCUAACUGGACACCAACAUUACAGAAAUGUAAGCUAACGUUGACAUACUUGCCAGUAAAGGUAUCUCGAGUAACUACCGUACCGGAGCUCUUCUGUGCUGCACGUCAACACUUUGAGACGAACAAGGAGCAUCAAUCUAACGUAAAUGCUUUUCAAUGUAUGUUACAUCUUUAGUUUCAAUGAGCAUGCAUCUAAAAUUGAAUGAAUAAUAUUCCCCAAAUUCCAAUUAACUACACUUCCGGCUGUUACAGAGGGGAAACGCUGUAAUCUGUGAACUUUGAACAGUUCAUAUAUUGUUCAUAGUUUGUAGUUAAAGUUGUAAAAAUAACAACGUGGGGGUACCGACAGGGGGGGGUAUCGACUUUGGGGCACCCCUCCGUCGACCGGACCGUUCGGACCGUCGAGACAAGAGGGCUCGAAAGGGAUGUUUAAAAAUUUGGAUUCAAGAGUUUAAACAUUUCCGACUUGACUGGCCUUGGCGGCCUGAGCCGAAUUUUUGGUUUCCAUUGGGACAAAACUCAAAAAUCGUUCUUUAUUGAUUCUUUAAAGCCUUUGCUUUCAAGAUCAAGAUGAAAGGGUCAUAGAAAAAGAAACGGUACAGCAAAGUGUUUUAUGCACCAUGUGAAGUGGAUGAGCUCCAUCAAUACAAAUACACCGUCCACACACACGUUUACUUUAAAGGCCCAUUUCUAUAUUCUAGAUACCUUCACUGUAAACAUAGACAGGUGACAUCAGGAUUUCUCCAUGUUCCAUGUCCGUGUUCCAAAUUCCAUGCUCCAUGUUCCAUGCUCCAUGUUCCGUGUUCUAUGUUCCAUGUUCCGUGUUCUGUGCUCCAUGUUCCGUGUUCUAUGCUCCAUUCCCCACAGUAUAAGAAACACAGUCUGAGGCACAUUUAGUCAGUUAGUUUCAAACCUCACAUCUGCACACACUGAAGUUUUCCGGACAGAAAACUGCAGAAAGCGAUCGUCACGCCUCAGGAGUCUGAAGAGGAGAUGAAGACGCGUUUUGCUGCACUCAACAGAGCUCGAGACCAACAGGACGUCAUCAGGAAGCCAUCAGGACGUCACGCCAUCAGGACGCCAUCAGGACGUCACGCCAUCAGGACGCCAUCAGGAUGCCACGCCAUCAGGAUGUGCUGAGAGUCGCCCCCUCAGGAGCAGCGCCAGAUCUACGCAUGACUCAGAUAAGCGCACAACACACACACACACACAUACUCAGAGACAAACUAAUAUUUAGAUGUAGGAUUCAGGAAUCAGGAAACAUUUAUUAGCCAAAAUAUCUCAAACAUAAAAGGAAUUUGUCUUGGCGGUUAGUGCGCGACAGUAGACAGACAGGACAACAGUGCACAAGUAAUAAAAUAAAGUGGAAUGAAAUGCUAAUGCAAUGGGUUAGUAGAAUAAGGCUAAGGCUAUGGGUUCGUAUAAAACAAGGGAAUAAAGUUAAAAAAAUGUAAAUAUUAAAAAGUUAAAAAGAAAAAUAUUAAGCAUAAAGUGCACUAACGAACAAGUAACAGACAAGAGACGAAGUGACUGUACACAAAGACACACUAAUAUUUAAUUGUUGACAUAGACAUAUUAAUAUUUCGAUGUACACAUAGAUCAUUAAUAUUUCGAUGUACACAUAGGCACACUACCUGUAAGAGGCGAUUUAUGAUGUAUGGCAGCAUCUGAUUGAUGGGCGGGUCAGCCUAUAUAGGGUAGGAACCUUUGGGGGCUCGGCAGGUGUUUCCAGCCGGAAUGAGAAAAACAGUUUUGACUUUGAAUGUAGAGGCUAAGCCAACGCUUUAAGCCACUGAGGCAUUUUGUCCGGAAACCCUCGUUGACGCGCCGCUGUUGUCCCAUGACGGAUGAAUGAGAGUCUUGUAGUCUUUGUGUUGUUGUAAACAAGUCCACUUAUUUGCCAAUUUUACUCCUGUCACACGUUUACCAUACAUCAUGGGGUACAUGGGAGUGUGGAGGGGGAGAGAGAGGAGUGAUUGAAUAGAUGAAUGAAAUGUGUUGAGAAAUGUACUUUAAGAAAACAGUUUUGGAAGUAUGUUGUAAGGAGGGCAGACAGACCUAAUAGUUGAGUCUGAGAGGUUAACAUAAACUCACAGACGCAUUAACUCCGGAAGGUUAGUAUAAACUUUCGGCAUAAAUUAAUUCUGCGAGGCUAACAUAAGCUCGUGGACAAAAAAAAAAAUUCUCUGAAAGGUUAGUAUAAACUUUCAGCAUACAUAGAUUCUGCGAGGCUAACAUAAGCUCGUGGACACAAACAUUUUCUCUGGAAGGUUAGUAUAAACUUUCAGAACAUAGCUGUCUGCUCAGGUAAAAUACAUACGAUCUGGUUGACUGUUGUUAAAUGGAAGGUGAAUUUGAUGAAGAAGAGGAGGACGGCGGCUGGGAGUCAGCCUUAGAUCAUAAAUAUUUAGACACACAUAGACACACUAAUAUUUAGAUACACACAUAGACACAUUCAUAUUUCGAUGUACACAUAGACACACUAAUAUUUCGAUGUACACAUAGAUCAUUCAUAUUUCGAUGUACACAUAGACGCAC
Long non-coding RNA from Gasterosteus aculeatus aculeatus (three-spined stickleback), 2932 nucleotides. The record is from Ensembl. NCBI's taxonomy places the organism in Eukaryota, Metazoa, Chordata, Actinopteri, Perciformes, Gasterosteidae.